GACGAACGCUGGCGGCGGGCUUAACACAUGCAAGUCGAACGGAAAGGCCCUGCUUGUGUGGGGUGCUCGAGUGGCGAACGGGUGAGUAACACGUGAGUAACCUGCCCUGGACUUGGGGAUAACUUCAGGAAACUGGUGCUAAUACCGGAUAGGAGCUCCUGCUGCAUGGUGGGGGUUGGAAAGUUUCGGCGGUUGGGGAUGGACUCGGGGCUUAUCAGCUUGUUGGUGGGGUAGUGGCUUACCAAGGCUUUGACGGGUAGCCGGCCUGAGAGGGUGACCGGCCACAUUGGGACUGAGAUACGGCGCAGACUCCUACGGGAGGCAGCAGUGGGGAAUAUUGCACAAUGGGCGGAAGCGUGAUGCAGAAACGCCGCGUGCGGGAUGACGGCCUUCGGGUUGUAAACCGCUUUCGCCUGUGACGAAGCGUGAGUGACGGUAAUGGGUAAAGAAGCACCGGCUAACUACGUG
Molecule: ribosomal RNA, 468 nt
Filed under: uncultured bacterium
Lineage: Bacteria
Description: partial 16S ribosomal RNA
Rfam family: Bacterial small subunit ribosomal RNA
Source: RNAcentral